Mus spicilegus (steppe mouse) is the source of this 2072-nucleotide long non-coding RNA. The record is from Ensembl. NCBI's taxonomy places the organism in Eukaryota, Metazoa, Chordata, Mammalia, Rodentia, Muridae.
AUUAGGAGUAUUUAAUGUUUCACUUCAUGGACACACACUUAAUUUGAAAACCCUAGAUAAAACAUGCAGUAAAAUGGGGAGAAAGAAGUGGUUUCCUGGAUACUUAAUGAUGAAACAUGGGAUGCUCAUGAUAAGCAAAAAUUAAAAAUGACUUUUCAGUCCUUUGAAAUUCUAUCUAAUGUAUAAUGGCUGGAGAGCUUGGCUCUGUCUAAAAAGUCACCAGCACCUGAAUUAUAAAUAAAAAAAAUUAGAAAUAAUUUAAUUUACUUUCAAAUAAUAAAUAAUCUUUGAAGGAAAAAAGAAACCCUUACAGCAAUUUAUUUUUUUUUAAUGAAAGGGGGUAUUUGUAGUUACUUUAGCAUCCACCUUUUUUCUGUAAAAGGGGAAUUAAACUAUUACAGGACACCUUGUUAAGUAAUUAUACAGCAGCAUCACAGUGCAAUUAAAUAGCCAUCAGUCCCCGCAGCUGAGAAAUUCCAGGUAAUUAUUCAAAGAUAAUUUAAUAGGAGAAUUACUGUAUUCAAGCAAGGAUUAGCAAGUAAUCUACCUCAAUUAAAGCAUCCAAUUAAUUUCAGAGCCUCGAUAACAGUUGCCUUUGGCAAAAUGAUCCUUCCCUUCAUUUGAUCCUGCAUAGGCAAUAUUCCUUAAACACUGUGUAAAAUUAAUUUACUUCUUCUAAAAGUACAGUCUAUUAAUAGCAGCCUCCUGAGAAAUUAAACAGAUGCAAGAGUAACAACGGCGUCUUCCCGCCUGCUUGCUUGUGCCUUUUCCCCCCCAGUCUUCUGUGCAGAAACAAAACACAGCCAACUCGGACCUGUUAGUCCCAGCGUGCAUCACCAAGUGCAGGAAAACCUGCCAGUGAUGGAGAGUUCCUGAAGACAAUUUUGUUGCUGGACUGAUUAACUCAGCGGACAGACUGUCUGUGGGAACUCUGUCUCUGGGAAUCUGAUGGUCAUGUGGCCGGGAUGACGACUGGGCAAGUAUGGAGACUUUAGUGGGUGGGGUUUCCUCCGUUGAGUUUCUUUCAGAUUGCUGCAGAAAGCCCUCAGCAUUGGGACACAAAGAGAGGUUUGGAUGCUCUGGGAGGACCUUUCACUGUCUCAAACUGUCUCUUAACAGCAGCCUUUCAGUUCUGCCUCACUCACGGUUUCUCUGGGUUCUUUGUCAUGGCAGGACAAGUGACUACUACAACUUCCCCUCGUCCACCUUGCCUCCAGCUCUGUCUACACCUAGCUCUUUUGUUAAUGACAGAAUCAUUUCUAAGGUCACUCAUAUGGGGACUCAACCACAGCUGAGAGGUGGUUGCGAUGUCUCGUGUGUCUGUGGAGAGCAACUUGACCAGCUCACGGGUGUCGGGCUCACAUUCAAAGAAAGCUCAACCUUUUGUAACAACACAAGCUGUAAUGCCAGCACCAGGGGACGGAGGCAAGAAGACAAGGCAAGCUUCAGGCCAGCCUGGCCUACCAAAACCAAGAACCAAAAAACCUAACCCAAUUCGUAAAAUCAAAUCAGAUUCAAUCAAGUUACUUAGCAUAUCCAGUACCGGCCUCACCCACCAGCACCACAGGCACCAUUGCUAAGUGUCUGAGCUGACCAGUGCUAAUCACACUGAGCCUUACAGUCUCCACCCAUCUUUAUCCUAAAUGGCAAGUCUGACCCAUUCAGCAGCAGGUUUUCAUUCUCACCCCUUCCCUGAUAACCUUGGCUCUCCUCCCACUCUCUGUGACUCGUCUGUCCUACCUACCUCAUGGGAGUGGAGUCAUACAGGGUUUCUUCCUUUGCAGUUGGCUUAUUUUACUGAGCAAAGUGCUUUUAAAGAUUCACCCAUAGAGUACCAGGGGUCAGAAUGCUACUCCUCUUAUGGCUAAGUAAUAUUCCACUGCAUCUCACGCUGUGUGUUAUUCACUCAUUCGUCGGCGGAUACUUGGGUUAUGUAGUAUUGACUACUGUGCCUUUCAAUUAAAGAAAAAAACAAUCUGUUUAAGCUUGAUUUUCAGUUCUUGUGGUGGGGAAGGGAUAAGUACCAGGGCCUUGAGCAUGCUCUGCAAAUGCUCGCUCCACCACGAAGGUCC